GACGAACGCUGGCGGCGUGCUUAACUCAUGCACGUCGAACGGAAAGGCCCUGCUUUUGUGGGGUGCUCGAGUGGCGAACGGGUGAGUAACACGUGAGUAACCUGCCCUUGACUUUGGGAUAACUUCAGGAAACUGGGGCUAAUACCGGAUAGGAGCUCCUGCUGCAUGGUGGGGGUUGGAAAGUUUCGGCGGUUGGGGAUGGACUCGCGGCUUAUCAGCUUGUUGGUGGGGUAGUGGCUUACCAAGGCUUUGACGGGUAGCCGGCCUGAGAGGGUGACCGGCCACAUUGGGACUGAGAUACGGCCCAGACUCCUACGGGAGGCAGCAGUGGGGAAUAUUGCACAAUGGGCGGAAGCCUGAUGCAGCAACGCCGCGUGCGGGAUGACGGCCUUCGGGUUGUAAACCGCUUUCGCCUGUGACGAAGCGUGAGUGACGGUAAUGUGUAAAGAAGCACCGGCUAACUACGUG
RNAcentral lists this ribosomal RNA (468 nucleotides) under uncultured bacterium. RNAcentral describes it as "partial 16S ribosomal RNA". It matches the Rfam family "Bacterial small subunit ribosomal RNA", at positions 28 to 507 of the family's 1533-position model. The record is from RNAcentral.